Molecule: non-coding RNA, 45 nt
Filed under: Schistosoma mansoni
Lineage: Eukaryota; Metazoa; Platyhelminthes; Trematoda; Strigeidida; Schistosomatidae
Source: RNAcentral
AUCCAGCUGGCGAGUCCCAAAUAGGACGAAACGGGUGUCCUGGAU